ACGGGAGGCAGCAGUGGGGAAUAUUGCACAAUGGGGGAAACCCUGAUGCAGCGACGCCGCGUGAGUGAAGAAGUAUUUCGGUAUGUAAAGCUCUAUCAGCAAGGAAGAAAAUGACGGUACUUGACUAAGAAGCCCCGGCUAACUACGUGCCAGCAGCCGCGGUAAUACGUAGGGGGCAAGCGUUAUCCGGAUUUACUGGGUGUAAGGGGAGCGUAGACGGUGAGGCAAGUCUGAAGUGAAAUGCAUGGGCUCAACCCAUGAACUGCUUUGGAAACUGUCUGACUAGAGUGCAGGAGAGGUAAGUGGAAUUCCUAGUGUAGCGGUGAAAUGCGUAGAUAUUAGGAGGAACACCAGUGGCGAAGGCGGCUUACUGGACUGUAACUGACGUUGAGGCUCGAAAGCGUGGGGAGCAAACAGGAUUAGAUACCCUGGUA
This 434-nucleotide ribosomal RNA is filed under the name uncultured Lachnospiraceae bacterium. Its description in RNAcentral is "bacterial SSU rRNA". It matches the Rfam family "Bacterial small subunit ribosomal RNA", at positions 341 to 792 of the family's 1533-position model. The record is from RNAcentral. Lineage: Bacteria; Bacillati; Bacillota; Clostridia; Lachnospirales; Lachnospiraceae.